UGGGGAAUAUUGCACAAUGGGGGAAACCCUGAUGCAGCGACGCCGCGUGAACGAAGAAGGUAUUCGUAUCGUAAAGUUCUGUCCUAUGGGAAGAUAAUGACAGUACCAUAGAAGAAAGCUCCGGCUAAAUACGUGCCAGCAGCCGCGGUAAUACGUAUGGAGCGAGCGUUGUCCGGAAUUAUUGGGCGUAAAGGGUACGCAGGCGGUUUAAUAAGUCGAAUGUUAAAGAUCGGGGCUCAACCCCGCAAAGCAUUGGAAACUGAUAAACUUGAGUAGUGGAGAGGAAAGUGGAAUUCCUAGUGUAGUGGUGAAAUACGUAGAUAUUAGGAGGUAUACCAGUAGCGAAGGCGACUUUCUGGACACAAACUGACGCUGAGGUACGAAAGCGUGGGGAGCAAACAG
This 402-nucleotide ribosomal RNA is filed under the name bacterium. RNAcentral's name for it is "partial 16S ribosomal RNA". It matches the Rfam family "Bacterial small subunit ribosomal RNA", at positions 355 to 775 of the family's 1533-position model. The record is from RNAcentral.